GUGAGGAAUAUUGGUCAAUGGGCGGGAGCCUGAACCAGCCAAGUCGCGUGAAGGAAGAAGGAUCUAUGGUUCGUAAACUUCUUUUGCAGGGGAAUAAAGUGCAGGACGUGUCCUGUUUUGUAUGUACCCUGAGAAUAAGGAUCGGCUAACUCCGUGCCAGCAGCCGCGGUAAUACGGAGGAUCCGAGCGUUAUCCGGCUUUAUUGGGUUUAAAGGGUGCGUAGGUGGUUUGAUAAGUCAGCGGUGAAAGUUUGCAGCUUAACUGUAAAAAUGCCGUUGAAACUGUCGGACUUGAGUGUAAAUGAGGUAGGCGGAAUGCGUGGUGUAGCGGUGAAAUGCAUAGAUAUCACGCAGAACUCCGAUUGCGAAGGCAGCUUACUAAGCUACAACUGACACUGAAGCACGAAAGCGUGGGGAUCAAACAGGAUUAGAUACCCUGGUAGUCC
RNAcentral lists this ribosomal RNA (445 nucleotides) under uncultured bacterium. RNAcentral's name for it is "partial 16S ribosomal RNA". It matches the Rfam family "Bacterial small subunit ribosomal RNA", at positions 354 to 796 of the family's 1533-position model. The record is from RNAcentral.